UGGUGGUUGGCUCAGUGGAAAGAGCAUGGGCUUGGGAGUCAGAGGUCAUGGGUUCGAAUCCCACUCUGCCAC
Molecule: transfer RNA, 72 nt
Filed under: Ornithorhynchus anatinus (platypus)
Lineage: Eukaryota; Metazoa; Chordata; Mammalia; Monotremata; Ornithorhynchidae
Rfam family: tRNA
About the family: Transfer RNA (tRNA) molecules are approximately 80 nucleotides in length. Their secondary structure includes four short double-helical elements and three loops (D, anti-codon, and T loops). Further hydrogen bonds mediate the characteristic L-shaped molecular structure. tRNAs have two regions of fundamental functional importance: the anti-codon, which is responsible for specific mRNA codon recognition, and the 3' end, to which the tRNAs corresponding amino acid is attached (by aminoacyl-tRNA synthetases). tRNAs cope with the degeneracy of the genetic code in two manners: having more than one tRNA (with a specific anti-codon) for a particular amino acid; and 'wobble' base-pairing, i.e. permitting non-standard base-pairing at the 3rd anti-codon position.
Source: Rfam by way of RNAcentral